GUAGGUGGCAAGCGUUAUCCGGAAUUAUUGGGCGUAAAGCGCGCGCAGGUGGUUCGUUUAAGUCUGAUGUGAAAGACCCCCGGGCUCAACCGGGGAGGGUCAUUGGAAACUGGGGAACUUGAGUGCAGGAGAGGAAAGUGGAAUUCCACGUGUAGCGGUGAAAUGCGUAGAUAUGUGGAGGAACACCAGUGGCGAAGGCGACUUUCUGGCCUGUAACUGACACUGAGGCGCGAAAGCGUGGGGAGCAAACAGGAUUAGAUACCCUGGUAGUCCACGCCGUAAACGAUGAGUGCUAAGUGUUGGGGGGGUUUCCGCCCCUCAGUGCUGCAGCUAACGCAUUAAGCACUCCGCCUGGGGAGUACGGUCGCAAAGACUG
This 376-nucleotide ribosomal RNA is filed under the name uncultured organism. RNAcentral describes it as "partial 16S ribosomal RNA". It matches the Rfam family "Bacterial small subunit ribosomal RNA", at positions 527 to 896 of the family's 1533-position model. The record is from RNAcentral.